GAUGAAGAACGUAGUGAAAUGCGAUACGUAAUGUGAAUUGCAGAAUUCAGUGAAUCAUCGAAUCUUUGAACGCAUAUUGCGCUCUCUGGUAUUCCGGAGAGCAUGCUUGGUUGAGUAUCAGUAAACACCUCAACUUCCAUAUCUUUUUUGAAAUGGGAGUUGGACUUGAGUGAUCCCAACGCUUUUCCUCACCGAAAAGUGGCGGGUUACUUGAAAUGCAGGUGCAGCUGGACUUUUCUCUGAGCUAUAAGCAUAUCUAUUUAGUCUGCCUAAAAAACAGAUUAUUACCUUUGCUGCAGCUAACAUAAAGGAGAUUAGUUCUUGUGCUGACUGAUGCAGGAUUCACAAAGACAGGCUUCGGCCGACUUUGUAAACUCGAUCUCAAAUCAAGUAAGACUACCCGCUGAACUUAAGCAUAUCAAUAAGCGGAGGA
RNAcentral lists this unclassified non-coding RNA (433 nucleotides) under soil metagenome. RNAcentral describes it as "partial contains 5.8S ribosomal RNA, internal transcribed spacer 2, and large subunit ribosomal RNA". The stretch from base 1 to 120 matches the Rfam family "5.8S ribosomal RNA", at positions 35 to 154 of the family's 154-position model. The record is from RNAcentral.